GUUUGUGGCUCAGUGGUAGAGUGCUCGCCUAGCAUGUGCGAGGCACUGGGUUCGAUUCUCAGCACUACA
Molecule: transfer RNA, 69 nt
Filed under: Marmota monax (woodchuck)
Lineage: Eukaryota; Metazoa; Chordata; Mammalia; Rodentia; Sciuridae
Description: tRNA.Ala
Rfam family: tRNA (bases 4-64)
About the family: Transfer RNA (tRNA) molecules are approximately 80 nucleotides in length. Their secondary structure includes four short double-helical elements and three loops (D, anti-codon, and T loops). Further hydrogen bonds mediate the characteristic L-shaped molecular structure. tRNAs have two regions of fundamental functional importance: the anti-codon, which is responsible for specific mRNA codon recognition, and the 3' end, to which the tRNAs corresponding amino acid is attached (by aminoacyl-tRNA synthetases). tRNAs cope with the degeneracy of the genetic code in two manners: having more than one tRNA (with a specific anti-codon) for a particular amino acid; and 'wobble' base-pairing, i.e. permitting non-standard base-pairing at the 3rd anti-codon position.
Source: RNAcentral